AUUGAACGCUGGCGGCAUGCCUUACACAUGCAAGUCGAACGGCAGCACGGGUGCUUGCACCUGGUGGCGAGUGGCGAACGGGUGAGUAAUACAUCGGAACAUGUCCUGUAGUGGGGGAUAGCCCGGCGAAAGCCGGAUUAAUACCGCAUACGAUCUACGGAUGAAAGCGGGGGACCUUCGGGCCUCGCGCUAUAGGGUUGGCCGAUGGCGGAUUAGCUAGUUGGUGGGGUAAAGGCCUACCAAGGCGACGAUCAGUAGCUGGUCUGAGAGGACGACCAGCCACCCUGGGACUGAGACACGGCCCAGACUCCUACGGGAGGCAGCAGUGGGGAAUUUUGGACAAUGGGCGAAAGCCUGAUCCAGCAAUGCCGCGUGUGUGAAGAAGGCCUUCGGGUUGUAAAGCACUUUUGUCCGGAAAGAAAUCCUUGGCCCUAAUACGGUCGGGGGAUGACGGUACCGGAAGAAUAAGCACCGGCUAACUACGUG
Molecule: ribosomal RNA, 486 nt
Filed under: uncultured bacterium
Lineage: Bacteria
Description: partial 16S ribosomal RNA
Rfam family: Bacterial small subunit ribosomal RNA
Source: RNAcentral